RNAcentral lists this ribosomal RNA (496 nucleotides) under uncultured bacterium. Its description in RNAcentral is "partial 16S ribosomal RNA". It matches the Rfam family "Bacterial small subunit ribosomal RNA", at positions 29 to 523 of the family's 1533-position model. The record is from RNAcentral.
AUUGAACGCUGGCGGCAUGCCCUACACAUGCAAGUCGAACGGUAGAGGGGGCAACCCCUCGAGAGUGGCGAACGGGUGAGUAAAGCAUCGGAACGUGCCCAGUAGUGGGGGAUAGCCCGGCGAAAGCCGGAUUAAUACCGCAUGAGACCUACGGGUGAAAGGGGGGGAUCGCAAGACCUCUCGCUAUUGGAGCGGCCGAUGUCAGAUUAGGUAGUUGGUGGGGUAAAGGCCUACCAAGCCGACGAUCUGUAGCUGGUCUGAGAGGACGACCAGCCACACUGGGACUGAGACACGGCCCAGACUCCUACGGGAGGCAGCAGUGGGGAAUUUUGGACAAUGGGCGAAAGCCUGAUCCAGCCAUGCCGCGUGCGGGAAGAAGGCCUUCGGGUUGUAAACCGCUUUUGUCAGGGAAGAAAUCCUUUGAGUUAAUACCUCGGGGGGAUGACGGUACCUGAAGAAUAAGCACCGGCUAACUACGUGCCAGCAGCCGCCGUAA